UUAAGUUCAGCGGGUAUUCCUACCUGAUCCGAGGUCAACCUUGUGUAAGUUGGGGUUUAACGGCCGGUAGGCCGCCAGACGUCCAGGGCGAGGAGUAAUGCUACUGCGCCCAGAGUGCUGGCAGACACCGCCACUAUAAUUCGGGGCAUACAGCAGCGCUGUAUAUGCCCCAUCACCAGGCAGCCAGGGCCUGAGGGUUG
This 200-nucleotide unclassified non-coding RNA is filed under the name Rhamphoria sp. RNAcentral's name for it is "partial internal transcribed spacer 2". The record is from RNAcentral. Lineage: Eukaryota; Fungi; Ascomycota; Sordariomycetes; Rhamphoriaceae.